GGCCAGACGAACCCCCAUUUGGGAAGAGGAAAUGUCUUCCUCCCCUACAGUACCAUUUGCAAAACGUGCUUGGUUUAAUCUCUGCAAACCAGAGAGUUUAACUGAUUUGUGGGUGAUCACACAGCUAGGAAGGUAGAGAGCCAGGGCUCUUCUGACCCCUGACUGCAUGGAGGGAGACCACUUAGAAGAAAGGCCAUGAACUUGGAGAAAUCAAGGGAUCAAGUCAGACAUUGUGAAGAAGGAAAGAGAAUGCCUCCAAGGAUCACCAGAUAACCAACCCCCAGCUGCUGUUGACGCCCAGAAGUCAGAUUGCCCAGGGGCUUAUUGGGAGUGAAAGAAACACGGAUUACCCCUUUGUUUCUCGAAACUCCUCCUGCCACACCCCUUAGCUCUAUAAAACCCAUGCUUUCUUCUCUUGCGGAUUUGAGAGAACCCAUGCUUCCGCCUUCUUGUCUUGGCUGAUUCAAAUAAAGCUUUCUUCAUCUCCAAGCACCAAUGUCUCAGCGUUGGGCUUAUUGUGCAUUGGG
Molecule: long non-coding RNA, 527 nt
Filed under: Equus caballus (horse)
Lineage: Eukaryota; Metazoa; Chordata; Mammalia; Perissodactyla; Equidae
Description: lncRNA (ENSECAG00000052821.1)
Source: RNAcentral